This 248-nucleotide ribosomal RNA is filed under the name uncultured bacterium. RNAcentral's name for it is "partial 16S ribosomal RNA". It matches the Rfam family "Bacterial small subunit ribosomal RNA", at positions 109 to 353 of the family's 1533-position model. The record is from RNAcentral.
AGUAACACGUGGGUAACCUGCCUUAUAGUGGGGGAUAACCUUUCGAAAGGAAGAUUAAUACCGCAUAAGAUUGUAGUAUCGCAUGAUAUAGCAAUUAAAGGAGCAAUCCGCUAUAAGAUGGACCCGCGUCGCAUUAGCUAGUUGGUGAGGUAAUGGCUCACCAAGGCGACGAUGCGUAGCCGACCUGAGAGGGUGAUCGGCCACAUUGGGACUGAGACACGGCCCAGACUCCUACGGGAGGCAGCAUG